GAUGAACGCUGGCGGCGUGCCUAAUACAUGCAAGUCGAGCGAACAGACGAGAAGCUUGCUCCUCUGACGUUAGCGGCGGACGGGUGAGUAACACGUGGAUAACCUACCUAUAAGACUGGGAUAACUUCGGGAAACCGGAGCUAAUACCGGAUAAUAUAUUGAACCGCAUGGUUCAAUAGUGAAAGACGGUUUUGCUGUCACUUAUAGAUGGAUCCGCGCCGCAUUAGCUAGUUGGUAAGGUAACGGCUUACCAAGGCAACGAUGCGUAGCCGACCUGAGAGGGUGAUCGGCCACACUGGAGCUGAGACACGGUCCAGACUCCUACGGGAGGCAGCAGUAGGGAAUCUUCCGCAAUGGGCGAAAGCCUGACGGAGCAACGCCGCGUGAGUGAUGAAGGUCUUCGGAUCGUAAAACUCUGUUAUUAGGGAAGAACAAAUGUGUAAGUAACGAUGCACGUCUGGACGGUACCUAAGCAGAAAGCCACGGCUAACUACGG
Molecule: ribosomal RNA, 496 nt
Filed under: uncultured bacterium
Lineage: Bacteria
Description: partial 16S ribosomal RNA
Rfam family: Bacterial small subunit ribosomal RNA
Source: RNAcentral